ACGCUCACUUGGGCAGCGCAUCUACUAAAACUGGAAGGAUACAGAGAAGAUUAGCAUGGCCCCUGCACAAAGAUGACACGCAAAUUCAGGAAGUGUUCUAUAUUUUA
Molecule: small nuclear RNA, 107 nt
Organism: Sapajus apella (tufted capuchin)
Lineage: Eukaryota; Metazoa; Chordata; Mammalia; Primates; Cebidae
Source: RefSeq, a predicted model, not a curated record